AGGACGAACGCUGGCGGCGCGCCUAACACAUGCAAGUCGAGCGAUAACCAGGGGCUUGCCCUUGGGGACAGCGGCGAACGGGUGCGUAACACGUGAGCAACCUGCCCCGAAGACCGGGACAACCCGAGGAAACUCGGACUAAUACCGGAUGUCCUCACCGGAUCGCAUGGUCUGGUGAGGAAAUGGAUUCCGCUUCGGGAUGGGCUCGCGGUCUAUCAGCUUGUUGGUGGGGUAACGGCCUACCAAGGCGACGACGGAUAGCUGGUCUGAGAGGACGAUCAGCCACACUGGGACUGAGACACGGCCCAGACUCCUACGGGAGGCAGCAGUGGGGAAUCUUGCGCAAUGGGGGAAACCCUGACGCAGCGACGCCGCGUGCGGGAUGAAGGCCUUCGGGUUGUAAACCGCUUUCAGCAGGGACGAAAUUGACGGUACCUGCAGAAGAAGGCCCGGCAACUACGUGCCAGCAGCCGC
Molecule: ribosomal RNA, 474 nt
Filed under: uncultured bacterium
Lineage: Bacteria
Description: SSU rRNA
Rfam family: Bacterial small subunit ribosomal RNA
Source: RNAcentral